GAAGCGGCCGCCAGAGGGAGGCAGAGUGACGCCUCUUCGAAGUGUUGCCAGUUUUUGUACAAAGGAAUGAGGUCGAUGAAUGUCACUGGCUUGGCCUGAGGGGAAUCAAGGGACAGAAGACAGAAGGUUGACUUAGGUGAUGUAUACAGGUUAUUGGUGUCCAAUCCCAGUGAGACCUAGAAGCUGACCUGACAGAUGUUUGCAAGUGCAACCCUCAUGCAAUAUCUACCAUCUUUAAUAUGAAAAGAAUCCAGCAUGAGUGAGAGUGCUCUGCUUCUUCCCUUUUACAGUUAAAAGCAGGAGUUCCAACUUCAAGGCCAGGAAAUUAAUUAACACUAAGGCUGUACCAGUGGUAAGCUGGCUGCAACAUACUGAGUUCAAUCGCUGAUGCCAAAGAAAGGAUGUGUGCCUACCUGAACCCAGGUCAGUUCCACUCAUCUCCUACGGUGUCAUCUCACUCAAGCUGGGCGGUGUGAGCUAGGCCCAGUGUUGCCGGCCAUGCACUGAUGGCUCACAGCAUGAUGUUGGGUUCAGUUUUCUUUAUUUCAAAAAUUCUCUCCCCUGGAGACCUAACACAUUGUUGCAGUAAUUCGCUAAAUCUGAUGCUUAAGGAAAAUUGCCUACUUAAAAUCCCACUGAAAUCACAAUGCAAUCCAAAAUAAUUUGUCUAUUUUUUAUCAGUAAAAGGAAGACAAGCAGUCCUAUGAGAAAUGGUCCUUUUCAUCUCAGCAGGCUGAAGGGGUGUAUUGACGUCUGUGUUUGAUUGACAACAGCAGACAGCCUGAGCUCUGGCAGCAGAAUGAGACCUGCAGUAACAAACUUGUGCUGUAGCUUACAAGCCAUGGCACAGUGUGUGAAGACUGCAACUGAAUCUAAAUAGCUUUUGACAUUUGAAGGACAUCAGAGCUUGCUAGUGCCUUGCACUGUGUGAGAGGAUCACAGCGCAGACAGAUGACAGAUAAGUGCUCUCAUUAGCCACCAAGACAGUAUUGACGAAAAAUUGCCUGCUCCUCGCUAAUGGAAACACUCCGGUCUGUCAUUAGAAUGUGCAGCGGUGCAGAGAUGUCAGGGGGUCAAGAGGUAACCAAGGCAAGAUUUAUGGCUGCCAAUAUGAUGACACUUGCAAGGUCAUGCAUCAUGUAUACGUCACACGCCUGCCAUCCACAGAUCUAAAUAAUGACACCAAUGGAAUUUUAUUACUUUUUGCCAUCCAAUUAAAUCUAACACUUUGUAGAUGAAGCAUGUCUUUAACAUUAGCAUGUGAGAAUUGAUUGUUCAUGUGUAAAUGUUUUGCCCAACUAGUACUUAAAGUCAGACUGAAAUUGAAUUCUUGCUGAAAGAGCAUAUAUAUUUGUUGUUUAUUUUAACCAAAUCAUAAUUUCCAAAAUUAGAAAUUUAAGUUUUAUCAUUUUUCUGCAAUGACGGCUGCCCCUUCGUUAGUGUUUUCCAAGGUAAAGGAGCUUUUGUUACAACUGAUGAAUUUGGUAAUUUGAUUUUGUGCUAUGUCUUUGUGCUUUGUAAAAUAGUACGUAAUAUAACUUCAGUUCCAACAGACAUACAGUUCACCAGCUGGGUGGCUGACAGAGUUACCCUUGCUUACACCCCGUUAUUUCAGCCCUGCAUGUUUCUCCAUGACUCCAUACAUUACUGCGUGACUCUGUACAUCACUCUCUGUCGGGAUUUAAAUCACAGGGUAAGGCAUGCAGUGAGGUUACAGGACUAUGUUGCUAAGUGAGUUUUGACAGUCUGGUCAUUUGUCAACACCCCAACAGGACUCAUGAAAGACAGACAGUUAAUGCUAGCUAGAACCAGGGUGGGAAAUUAGCACCAGCUGGUAGAUUUCAGACACAAAAUAAUACUUUACUAUUGAGUGGCCAGUAGAUGUUCACAUUUGAAAAAGUUAAUUUCCCACCCUAGCUAGAACCCUCCCUCCUUUGUAUAAAGUGGGAUGGACAACACUGAGUGUGUGUGAGCUGCCGAUGACUCAGCAGGUGUUGAAAUAACAUGAAUGAAAAAGUAACGAGUAGUGCAAAUAGGUGUUUACGUUAGCAAGCUUGGCUGCGUAGUUUCCUCUUUUUGAAGGGAAUCUAGUUAGCCUAUGCUUGCUAGUUUCCACUGUAUCAAUCUAUACAAACUUAAACACAAUGGGACCUCCCAGGUGCUGAAUGUUGUUAAGGGACAGACAUCUUAAAUUGCGUACAUAUCGACUGAUAAUAUUGAAUCAACAUUUAUGGCUGUACAGGGC
Long non-coding RNA from Thunnus maccoyii (southern bluefin tuna), 2245 nucleotides. RefSeq lists it as uncharacterized. The transcript has 5 exons. NCBI's taxonomy places the organism in Eukaryota, Metazoa, Chordata, Actinopteri, Scombriformes, Scombridae. The record is from RefSeq and is a predicted model, not a curated record.